UACAGAGGGGGCAAGCGUUGUUCGGAAUUACUGGGCGUAAAGGGCGCGUAGGCGGCCUUCUAAGUCGAACGUGAAAUCCCUGGGCUCAACCCAGGAACUGCGUCCGAUACUGGAAGGCUUGAAUCCGGGAGAGGGAUGCGGAAUUCCAGGUGUAGCGGUGAAAUGCGUAGAUAUCUGGAGGAACACCGGUGGCGAAGGCGGCAUCCUGGACCGAGAUUGACGCUGAGGCGCGAAAGCUAGGGGAGCAAACGGG
RNAcentral lists this ribosomal RNA (253 nucleotides) under uncultured bacterium. RNAcentral's name for it is "partial 16S ribosomal RNA". It matches the Rfam family "Bacterial small subunit ribosomal RNA", at positions 524 to 776 of the family's 1533-position model. The record is from RNAcentral.